CCUACGGGUGGCGGCAGUGGGGAAUAUUGGACAAUGGGCGAAAGCCUGAUCCAGCCAUGCCGCGUGUGUGAAGAAGGCCUUCGGGUUGUAAAGCACUUUCAGUGGGGAAGAAAGCCUUGGGGCUAAUACCCUCGAGGAAGGACAUCACCCACAGAAGAAGCACCGGCUAACUCCGUGCCAGCAGCCGCGGUAAUACGGAGGGUGCGAGCGUUAAUCGGAAUUACUGGGCGUAAAGCGCGCGUAGGCGGUCUGAUAAGCCGGUUGUGAAAGCCCCGGGCUCAACCUGGGAACGGCAUCCGGAACUGUCAGGCUAGAGUGCAGGAGAGGAAGGUAGAAGUCCCGGUGUAGCAGUGAAAUGCGUAGAGAUCGGGAGGAAUACCAGUGGCGAAGGCGGCCUUCUGGACUGACACUGACGCUGAGGUGCGAAAGCGUGGGUAGCAAACAGGAUUAGAUACCCUAGUAGUC
This 465-nucleotide ribosomal RNA is filed under the name Vreelandella stevensii. RNAcentral's name for it is "partial 16S ribosomal RNA". It matches the Rfam family "Bacterial small subunit ribosomal RNA", at positions 338 to 795 of the family's 1533-position model. Lineage: Bacteria; Pseudomonadati; Pseudomonadota; Gammaproteobacteria; Oceanospirillales; Halomonadaceae. The record is from RNAcentral.